RNAcentral lists this ribosomal RNA (229 nucleotides) under Salmonella enterica subsp. enterica serovar Typhimurium. Its description in RNAcentral is "partial 16S ribosomal RNA". It matches the Rfam family "Bacterial small subunit ribosomal RNA", at positions 490 to 718 of the family's 1533-position model. The record is from RNAcentral. Lineage: Bacteria; Pseudomonadati; Pseudomonadota; Gammaproteobacteria; Enterobacterales; Enterobacteriaceae.
GCACCGGCUAACUCCGUGCCAGCAGCCGCGGUAAUACGGUGGGUGCAAGCGUUAAUCGGAAUUACUGGGCGUAAAGCGCGCGCAGGCGGUCUGUCAAGUCGGAUGUGAAAUCCCCGGGCUCAGCCUGGGAACUGCAUUCGCAACAGGCAGGCUAGAGUCUUGUAGAGGGGCGUAGAAUUCCAGGUGGAGCGGUGUAAUGCGUAGUGAUCUGGAGGAAUCCCGGUGGCGA